RNAcentral lists this ribosomal RNA (276 nucleotides) under Triticum aestivum (bread wheat). Its description in RNAcentral is "partial small subunit ribosomal RNA". Lineage: Eukaryota; Viridiplantae; Streptophyta; Magnoliopsida; Poales; Poaceae. The record is from RNAcentral.
AUGUUCCUUUACGUAGUUGGCCAUAACCAAAGGUAUAGGACACUACAACCUAUCUUUAGAAGAUCUAUCGAAGUCAUUAGUAGGCAUUUUAAGGCAGUGCUUUAUGCUGUUGGGAAGUUGAGAGAUGAGAUGAUUCGGCCUCCCUCCAACCAUUGCCAUCGUAAAAUACAAGAAAGCACUCGCUUCAAUCCAUAUUUCAAGGAUUGUGUUGGAGCAAUAGAUGGGACUCAUGUGCUUGCUAGAGUCCCAAAAGUAUCUCAGCUGCCUUUAGGGUAG